UUGAACGCUGGCGGCAGGCCUAACACAUGCAAGUCGAGCGGUARCACAGGGAGCUUGCUCCUGGGUGACGAGCGGCGGACGGGUGAGUAAUGUCUGGGAAACUGCCUGAUGGAGGGGGAUAACUACUGGAAACGGUAGCUAAUACCGCAUAACGUCUUCGGACCAAAGUGGGGGACCUUCGGGCCUCAUGCCAUCAGAUGUGCCCAGAUGGGAUUAGCUAGUAGGUGGGGUAAUGGCUCACCUAGGCGACGAUCCCUAGCUGGUCUGAGAGGAUGACCAGCCACACUGGAACUGAGACACGGUCCAGACUCCUACGGGAGGCAGCAGUGGGGAAUAUUGCACAAUGGGCGCAAGCCUGAUGCAGCCAUGCCGCGUGUAUGAAGAAGGCCUUCGGGUUGUAAAGUACUUUCAGCGAGGAGGAAGGCAUCAAGGUUAAUAACCUUGGUGAUUGACGUUACUCGCAGAAGAAGCACCGGCUAACUCC
RNAcentral lists this ribosomal RNA (484 nucleotides) under Enterobacteriaceae bacterium 'ARUP UnID 348'. RNAcentral describes it as "bacterial SSU rRNA". It matches the Rfam family "Bacterial small subunit ribosomal RNA", at positions 30 to 504 of the family's 1533-position model. The record is from RNAcentral. Lineage: Bacteria; Pseudomonadati; Pseudomonadota; Gammaproteobacteria; Enterobacterales; Enterobacteriaceae.